Molecule: ribosomal RNA, 420 nt
Filed under: bacterium
Lineage: Bacteria
Description: partial 16S ribosomal RNA
Rfam family: Bacterial small subunit ribosomal RNA
Source: RNAcentral
UGGUGGAUAUUGCACAAUGGGCGAAAGCCUGAUGCAGCGACGCCGCGUGGGGGAUGAAGGCUUUCGGGUUGUAAACCUCUUUCGCUAUCGAACAAGGCCCGCUUAGGGUGGGUUGAGGGUAGGUGGAGAAGAAGCGCCGGCUAACUACGUGCCAGCAGCCGCGGUAAUACGUAGGGCGCGAGCGUUGUCCGGAAUUAUUGGGCGUAAAGGGCUUGUAGGCGGCUUGUUGCGCCUGCUGUGAAAACGCGGGGCUUAACUUCGCGCGUGCAGUGGGUACGGGCAGGCUUGAGUGUGGUAGGGGUGACUGGAAUUCCAGGUGUAGCGGUGGAAUGCGCAGAUAUCUGGAGGAACACCGAUGGCGAAGGCAGGUCACUGGGCCAUUACUGACGCUGAGGAGCGAAAGCAUGGGUAGCGAACAGG